CAAAGAUCGGAAACCCCUGCCCCUACACCUUUCAAGAACUGCUUGUGUCUGUAACCCUUAGCAGGCUCUGACCUAGUCAGGCUAGAAGAAGCAUAAGGAUCUUUUAUUGCUUUGUGCUGGGUGAGGGCUGGCCCUAAACAUCUGCCUAAUCCUUUCAACGGGCCCAGGAAAAGCCAGACUGGCAUCAUGUCCACAGCAUCGCUUAAUAUCGUUGGUUGUCAUCCAGACACCUCAACUUGUGCUGCAGAGGAAAUAAGUUCCUUCUCACGGAUCAUCAUGAUGGAUAUUGAAACCUCAGGGUGCAGAACUAACACCUGUUCAUCAUCGUGGAUGUUAAAGAAUUGGGUAACAUGCCAAGCGGUAAGCCUUGGAUGGGCCAUGAGAAUAUCCUCUAAAAAGCACGCAGUAUUGUGCCCCUCUCACAACCAACACACACAUGACCUGUCCCCUGGCACCCCCAAAUUUAAGAGUGGAUUGCAAAUCUUUUGGAGACCAUGGCCCUGCUACAUGUAGAAAAACCUGUUCUGCUAUUCCUGGGCCCACAAUAAACCCAGAAAUUAUGUUUUGAGUUACUGUGAUUUAAACUCCCUCUCUUCUUAAAUGGAACAGCUCAUUGGGGCUUUCUGGAUCUGUUUCCAUUUUUCUUUAAAAAUAAAUUGUGAGCAUGCAUUGUGGUGAUGCAGAGGCAGGCAUUCUGUGAGAUACAAGCUCCAGAAGGAUUCUCCUCAAUGUGUCAGUGUUGGGAUGCACACUUCCUAAAUAAAUCAUCAUUGUCUCCGUCUUCUCCAUUAAUAGCGCUCUUUCAGUGUGACAUGGAAAAGCAGGAUGGCAUACACCCCACUGAAGGAUGUAGGCGGAGGCAGAUCUCUCAACCAGGCAUAUUGCUUCUGUACUGCUCUUCUUUUGCUCUAAGGUAUGGGUUCCCUCAACCUCUUAGCUAGAGACCAGCAAAUGUCAGGGAAGCACCCGGUGUCUGGCUCCCCUUCCAAAUCAACACCAGUGUCUUGUUACAGACAAGAAGUCAGAGGAAAGGGCGGGGUCCCAGCAGGGCAGAAGCCUAAGCUACUAUGAGGCACUCACAAGUGGCAGCUCCUGUUACUCCCUCUUAAAUUAUGUGGGAAAUCUUAACGGAAGGGCAAUGGGCCCCAGGAAUACCUGCAGCGUAGUGACCUCAGAUCCUGAUACUCACCAUGAAACUCUAAGAUACUGAUUGGAAGCGACUUGUGGCUGCUGGCUGUGUGUGUGACUCUGCCGGGGACCCUGGCAGCCCCCCUGUAGCUGUCUUGAUGCCUCUCUGUCACCCACAUCAUCUGCCUACUUAACGCCCAGCUCUGCUCAGAAAACGUUAUGUCCUGUGUCGAGGAGAGACGACGCAAAAUUCUGAAGUCCAUUUCCCUCUGGCUCCUGGCAUACCCUCGCUCCUUUUCUGAGCCCAGCUCGUGGUGUGCCAGAGCCUGUGUGGUCCCCUGACUUCUGCACAGUGUAGAACUUUCUCCAAUAGUCACAAUGGCAAAGGGAGAACUGGGGGGCUGGCAGGUAAUUAGAAUUUCUCUCCCUCUCUCUUUUAAUACUUUCAUUUUGAAUGUCUU
RNAcentral lists this long non-coding RNA (1589 nucleotides) under Homo sapiens (human). RNAcentral's name for it is "non-protein coding lnc-SPIDR-1:6". Lineage: Eukaryota; Metazoa; Chordata; Mammalia; Primates; Hominidae. The record is from RNAcentral.